This 250-nucleotide ribosomal RNA is filed under the name uncultured bacterium. RNAcentral describes it as "partial 16S ribosomal RNA". It matches the Rfam family "Bacterial small subunit ribosomal RNA", at positions 28 to 280 of the family's 1533-position model. The record is from RNAcentral.
GACGAACGCUGGCGGCGUGCUUAACACAUGCAAGUCGAACGGUAAGGCCCUUCGGGGUACACGAGUGGCGAACGGGUGAGUAACACGUGGGUGAUCUGCCCUGCACUUUGGGAUAAGCCUGGGAAACUGGGUCUAAUACCGAAUACUCCUCACUGGCUGCAUGGCCUGGUGGGGGAAAGCUUUUGCGGUGUGGGAUGGGCCCGCGGCCUAUCAGCUUGUUGGUGGGGUGAUGGCCUACCAAGGCGACGAC